Molecule: long non-coding RNA, 1806 nt
Organism: Lagenorhynchus albirostris (white-beaked dolphin)
Lineage: Eukaryota; Metazoa; Chordata; Mammalia; Artiodactyla; Delphinidae
Exons: 3
Source: RefSeq, a predicted model, not a curated record
GUGUGUGUGUGUGUGUAUGUGUGUGUGUGUGAGAGUGUGAGAAAGAGAAAGAGAGAGACAUGGAGAGAUUGAGAGAGACAUGGAGAUUGACUCAGAGUAACGUGCUACCAAUUCUCUUGGCUGAAGAAUCAGAUGAUGGAGGGACUAGACCUAGACCUAGCCACAGCUAGCUUGAUUAUUAAAAGAAACACCAGGAAAUUAAAAGUAGCUUGUAUUCUAUUUGCUUAGGUACUUGAAUAACUGGAAAAAUAAACUGCCUUUCCACUCCUACUCUUUGUAGUGAACUACAGAGCACAACAGCCUUUGUCUAAGAAUGUAACUCGACCAGGAAGGGUCUUGCAAGUCAUACAUUCAAAGCUUCAGCUGAGUUCCUCCAGGGGAGUGAAUCUCAGAUCUGAGUUUUGCCAUAGAGGCUGGACAAAACUGAAUUUCUCUGCAUAAAACAAAUCUUGGAGGGAUUCUCCACUCACCCCACCCACCCGAAAUUGAAGGGAAAUAAAAUGGAGAAAAAAGACCAGAGAGAGGAGGGCUGAGCAACAUUAUAGGAGGAUUGUUGCUGUGCCCACUGGACUUUAUGGCCUGGCUGAUUUUAUAAUACCCAGCUCACGAUGGGCAGCUCUGGCCCCAUAGUCAUCUGGUAUUGCAGAGAUGAGGUGUUGAAAGUGGUCAUUGAGAAGAUGUGACUGCCGGUUGACCCCCGAGCUGCACCUGGGCAAUCAGACGUUCCCCAUCCCCUCCCCUGUCCUCAGAAUGUAUGUUCUGCCCAUCAUUCCCACAGCGGGAGCCAGUUUCAAGGAUGGACCCUUGAGAGAGCAAUGUGUUUGUUAAGACCAUCUGGACAGUAUGUGACUGAACCCUAUUAAGACCUCUAUAUGUUUUUAAGAUUCUGGCAGGUGGGUGUGGAAAUUUCCUCUUCUUGUGGCCGUGCAAGACAAGUCUUCAUGUAAGUUCCCUUGCUUCUUAAACCUACCACCUACCAAUAUAGAGUGGUCUGCCUCUUUCUUCAGUCUCUCCUUGCCCUCCAUGGAUGGGGGCCAGUUUCAAAUUUCAUCUGGGAAACUCCGGGGGUCACAAACCAAGAUGAUGAAAGUGAGUUUCAAAGAGGUUAACACUCUCCUAAUGGCAUGCAGCUAAGAAGAGGCAGAGUUGAAACUCAAACCCAAGUCUUGCUAACUAUAACCUGAAAACUAGGAUCUAAAGAAUCUUAUAUCUGUAGAGUAAGGUCCACUCCUUAAGCAGGCAACAUAUCUGAUAUUGAUUGAAUUAGAAGUAACCAUAUUUAAAUAAAAUAAUUAAAACACUUUCUAGAGUUCAGCAUGUGCAGGCUGGAAAUGAAAACUUUGGAUGAGAGGGCCCUAGUGAAAAACAAAUUUAACUAUUACCAUAUGAACACUGUUGCCUGAAUAGUGAUGAUGCCAAAUGGCUGAGCAAAAGGUAUUGGAAAUAAUCUGUAACAAUUUUUGUAAAGAUGUUUUGGCAUAAAAAUGAAGAGCAAUUUUAUUUUGAAAUACUGAGAAGCAUGAGUGAAAAUAUAAUUAGUACCUGUAAAAAGUGAAUAAUUCCAGCGCUUUCCUUUAAAUGACUUUUGAUUAAAUUCUAGUUCUUCCAUAUGCCAUUACCAACUUAACCUAACAUAAAAAAGGAGAAAUCAGUUGUGUUUUUUUGCCUUUCAUCUCCUUUAUACAUCUACUGUCAAAACAAAAAUAUCAAACUUAAACUACCGUAUCAUAUGCCAAGACUGAUUGAGGGACUAUAAUUAUCCUUGUUCACACAUUAAAUGUAUUUUUUAUUUGUUCUGAUUAUGUA